Molecule: ribosomal RNA, 253 nt
Filed under: uncultured bacterium
Lineage: Bacteria
Description: partial 16S ribosomal RNA
Rfam family: Bacterial small subunit ribosomal RNA
Source: RNAcentral
UACGAAGGGUGCAAACGUUGCUCGGAAUUAUUGGGCGUAAAGGGCGUGUAGGCGGCUCUGUGUGUCCCAUGUGAAAUCUCUCGGCUCAACCGGGAGAGGUUGUCCGAUACUUCCAGACUUGAGGGCAGUAGAGGGUGGUGGAAUUCCACGUGUAGCAGUGAAAUGCGUAGAGAUGUGGAGGAACACCGAUGGCGAAGGCAGCCCCCUGGGUCGAUACUGACGCUCAUGCACGAAAGCGUGGGGAGCAAACAGG